UACGUAGGUGGCAAGCGUUGUCCGGAUUUAUUGGGCGUAAAGCGAGCGCAGGCGGUUCUUUAAGUCUGAUGUGAAAGCCCCCGGCUCAACCGGGGAGGGUCAUUGGAAACUGGGGAACUUGAGUGCAGCAGAGGAGAGUGGAAUUCCAUGUGUAGCGGAGAAGUUCGUAGAUAUGUGGAGGAACACCAGUGGCGAAGGCGGCUCUCUGGUCUGUAACUGACGCUGAGGCGCGAAAGCGUGGGGAGCGAACAGG
RNAcentral lists this unclassified non-coding RNA (253 nucleotides) under uncultured Lactobacillales bacterium. RNAcentral's name for it is "contains 16S-23S intergenic spacer region". It matches the Rfam family "Bacterial small subunit ribosomal RNA", at positions 524 to 776 of the family's 1533-position model. The record is from RNAcentral. Lineage: Bacteria; Bacillati; Bacillota; Bacilli; Lactobacillales.